GGCCAGCUUGCUGGUCUGAUCAGUGGCGAACGGGUGAGUAACACGUGAGCAACCUGCCCUUCACUCUGGGAUAAGCCUUGGAAACGAGGUCUAAUACCGGAUACGACGCACCUGGGCAUCUGGUGUGCGUGGAAAGAUUUUUCGGUGGAGGAUGGGCUCGCGGCCUAUCAGCUUGUUGGUGGGGUGAUGGCCUACCAAGGCGACGACGGGUAGCCGGCCUGAGAGGGCGACCGGCCACACUGGGACUGAGACACGGCCCAGACUCCUACGGGAGGCAGCAGUGGGGAAUAUUGCACAAUGGGCGCAAGCCUGAUGCAGCGACGCCGCGUGAGGGAUGACGGCCUUCGGGUUGUAAACCUCUUUCAGCAGGGAAGAAGCGCAAGUGACGGUACCUGCAGAAGAAGCGCCGGCUAACUACGUGCCAGCAGCCGCGGUAAUACGUAGGGCGCAAGCGUUGUCCGGAAUUAUUGGGCGUAAAGAGCUCGUAGGCGGUUUGUCGCGUCUGCUGUGAAAACUCGAGGCUCAACCUCGGGCUUGCAGUGGGUACGGGCAGACUAGAGUGCGGUAGGGGUGACUGGAAUUCCUGGUGUAGCGGUGGAAUGCGCAGAUAUCAGGAGGAACACCGAUGGCGAAGGCAGGUCACUGGGCCGCAACUGACGCUGAGGAGCGAAAGCAUGGGGAGCGAACAGGAUUAGAUACCCUGGUAGUCCAUGCCGUAAACGUUGGGCACUAGGUGUGGGGCUCAUUCCACGAGUUCCGUGCCGCAGCAAACGCAUUAAGUGCCCCGCCUGGGGAGUACGGCCGCAAGGCUAAAACUCAAAGAAAUUGACGGGGGCCCGCACAAGCGGCGGAGCAUGCGGAUUAAUUCGAUGCAACGCGAAGAACCUUACCAAGGCUUGACAUACACCGGAAAAGUGCAGAGAUGUGCUCCCCUUUUGGUCGGUGUACAGGUGGUGCAUGGUUGUCGUCAGCUCGUGUCGUGAGAUGUUGGGUUAAGUCCCGCAACGAGCGCAACCCUCGUCCCAUGUUGCCAGCGGGUUAUGCCGGGGACUCAUGGGAGACUGCCGGGGUCAACUCGGAAGAAGGUGGGGAUGACGUCAAAUCAUCAUGCCCCUUAUGUCUUGGGCUUCACGCAUGCUACAAUGGCCCGGUACAAAGGGCUGCGAUACCGCGAGGUGGAGCGAAUCCCAAAAAGCCGGUCUCAGUUCGGAUUGGGGUCUGCAACUCGACCCCAUGAAGUCGGAGUCGCUAGUAAUCGCAGAUCAGCAACGCUGCGGUGAAUACGUUCCCGGGCCUUGUACACACCGCCCGUCAAGUCACGAAAGUCGGUAACACCCGAAGCCG
This 1344-nucleotide ribosomal RNA is filed under the name Cellulomonas massiliensis. Its description in RNAcentral is "bacterial SSU rRNA". It matches the Rfam family "Bacterial small subunit ribosomal RNA", at positions 73 to 1429 of the family's 1533-position model. Lineage: Bacteria; Bacillati; Actinomycetota; Actinomycetes; Micrococcales; Cellulomonadaceae. The record is from RNAcentral.